This 395-nucleotide ribosomal RNA is filed under the name uncultured bacterium. RNAcentral describes it as "bacterial SSU rRNA". It matches the Rfam family "Bacterial small subunit ribosomal RNA", at positions 29 to 422 of the family's 1533-position model. The record is from RNAcentral.
AACGAACGCUGGCGGAAUGCUUUACACAUGCAAGUCGAACGGCAGCACGGGGGCGAACCCUGUGGCGAGUGGCGAACGGGUGAGUAAUACAUCGGAACGUGCCCAAUCGUGGGGGAGUAACUACGCGAAAGCGUAGCUAAUACCGCAUACGAUCUACGGAUGAAAGCGGGGAGUCGCAAGACCUCGCGCGAAUGGAGCGGCCGAUGGCAGAUUAGGUAGUUGGUGUAGGUAACGGCNCACCAAGCCAACGAUCAGUAACUGGUGUGAGAGCACGACCAGUCACACGGGCACUGAGACACGGGCCCGACUCCUACGGGAGGCAGCAGUAAGGAAUAUUGGUCAAUGGAGGCAACUCUGAACCAGCCAUGCCGCGUGAAGGAUGAAGGUCCUCUGGA